Scaptodrosophila lebanonensis is the source of this 477-nucleotide long non-coding RNA. RefSeq lists it as uncharacterized. The record is from RefSeq and is a predicted model, not a curated record. The transcript is spliced from 3 exons. Lineage: Eukaryota; Metazoa; Arthropoda; Insecta; Diptera; Drosophilidae.
GGACGAAAUUCAGUGACAAUUUAGCUCUUCGGCACGUAGCAGUAAGCAAAAUUUACAAAUCACACAACUAAUAUCGAGUUAGUCCAUCUCUUUGUUACCAGGCAACAACGCGCCUUCUGGAUUGUCCGGAAGGAGACAGAACCCACUGAACCUUUGGAAGCUGCAAAUUGUAUUAAAAGACUUUCUUCUUUGGUCUCUCCGGCUUUUUUCUCCUAUGUUGUUCAGAUAAUAAUCUUCGACAUAGUCAGCCAUCAAAAUCAACUCAAACACAUAUAAUACAUAUAAUAGUAGAUAUAUUAUAUAUGUGUGUUUACACGAAAAAAAAUAUAAAAAAAUUACCCCAACAUAUUCAGGUCUAAUGACGUCUCAGAUUAUUCUGUGCUGUGAAUCGGGGCAUCGCUGGCCGUUGGGCAAAUAAAGCUCUGCCAUCGAGUCGGUUUCGUUAGUAUAGUAGAUACUAUUGGUGUUUUAUAAGCC